AGCGAACGCUGGCGGCAGGCUUAACACAUGCAAGUCGAGCGGGCAUCUUCGGAUGUCAGCGGCAGACGGGUGAGUAACCCGUGGGAACGUACCCUUCGGUUCGGAACAACUCUGGGAAACUGGAGCUAAUACCGGAUACGCCCUUAUGGGGAAAGGUUUACUGCCGAAGGAUCGGCCCGCGUCUGAUUAGCUAGUUGGUGGGGUAACGGCCUACCAAGGCGACGAUCAGUAGCUGGUCUGAGAGGAUGAUCAGCCACACUGGGACUGAGACACGGCCCAGACUCCUACGGGAGGCAGCAGUGGGGAAUAUUGGACAAUGGGCGCAAGCCUGAUCCAGCCAUGCCGCGUGAGUGAUGAAGGCCUUAGGGUUGUAAAGCUCUUUUGUCCGGGACGAUAAUGACGGUACCGGAAGAAUAAGCCCCGGCUAACUUCGCG
Molecule: ribosomal RNA, 435 nt
Filed under: uncultured bacterium
Lineage: Bacteria
Description: partial 16S ribosomal RNA
Rfam family: Bacterial small subunit ribosomal RNA
Source: RNAcentral